UCGAGGAGGCAUCACCCCAAGGCAAUGAAACUGCUGAGUACAAGUCUCUUACUUCUCCUUUUUCAGUGUGUCCAAGGGUUAAAAACACUUCCGAACUAUCCUUCCAACUGCAAGGUCAAGCAGCUGUCCAAACCACCCAAGGAGAAGCAGGAGCCAGGGACAGCCAACUCCAGCUAGCUGGGCCACCACGGCCCUCCCCUCCCCCACGCGGGCCCGGCAGGGGAAGAGUUAAUCGCCAUCAGCUUUGGCUGAUAGUUCAGGCUCCAAAGUUCAGUCCCAGUCUGAGCCACCCCGGAGGAAUUGUAAAUCUCAGGGCAGUAUUUAACAAAACAAAAGCAACCUGGAAUUACAUGCAGGUUUGGUUUUCUACAGUACAUAUUUACUUAAUCCCCUAGGGCCGGCUUGAGACAGUCUGGCCUGCCAGCCUCCAAUCUCUCUCUCUCCUUUGCUCUAGUCACUGGGUCCCGAAGCUUGGCGGGCAGCACCAGUCCGACGGCUGCUUUGGCCACCAGAUAGAUCAUCUGCAGAGGGAACACCACCAACGCGCCCAGCCAUUUCCACACCAUCCUCCGCGCCGCGGAGACAGGCAGGGGGGGCGAAACUCCCCGGACCGAGCAAAACAGGAAUUAAAAAAAGAAAACACCCCAAACAAUAAUAAAUAAACCGAAUGAAAGGGGGAGAGAGGCGUCCCACCUGGCCACUGUUGAAAUCACCUCUUCCCAAAAGCAAAGCACCGGGUGAGAAAAAAAAGAAAA
Long non-coding RNA from Herpailurus yagouaroundi (jaguarundi), 755 nucleotides. RefSeq lists it as uncharacterized. The transcript has 3 exons. The record is from RefSeq and is a predicted model, not a curated record. NCBI's taxonomy places the organism in Eukaryota, Metazoa, Chordata, Mammalia, Carnivora, Felidae.